RNAcentral lists this ribosomal RNA (532 nucleotides) under uncultured Micrococcus sp. Its description in RNAcentral is "bacterial SSU rRNA". It matches the Rfam family "Bacterial small subunit ribosomal RNA", at positions 613 to 1057 of the family's 1533-position model. The record is from RNAcentral. Lineage: Bacteria; Bacillati; Actinomycetota; Actinomycetes; Micrococcales; Micrococcaceae.
CCGAAGCAAGGAGGACAAAACGGACGCUAAUUUACCUGCGGAAUUUGAUUGCUCAGCUAGCACAUUAAUUGAUAUCAACGAUGGCGAUAACUCCGCAGGUGAAAAUCCCCAAGAGUAUGCAAACUUUAUUCUAGAAUUAUUGCAAGCAGAAGAUGAUAGCAAUAGCAAUACAGGAGGAACACCGAUGGCGAAGGCAGGUCUCUGGGCUGUAACUGACGCUGAGGAGCGAAAGCAUGGGGAGCGAACAGGAUUAGAUACCCUGGUAGUCCAUGCCGUAAACGUUGGGCACUAGGUGUGGGGACCAUUCCACGGUUUCCGCGCCGCAGCUAACGCAUUAAGUGCCCCGCCUGGGGAGUACGGCCGCAAGGCUAAAACUCAAAGGAAUUGACGGGGGCCCGCACAAGCGGCGGAGCAUGCGGAUUAAUUCGAUGCAACGCGAAGAACCUUACCAAGGCUUGACAUGUUCUCGAUCGCCGUAGAGAUACGGUUUCCCCUUUGGGGCGGGUUCACAGGUGGUGCAUGGUUGUCGUCA